GACGAACGCUGGCGGCGUGCCUAACACAUGCAAGUCGAGCGAGUGGAUCUCCUUCGGGAGUGAAGCUAGCGGCGGACGGGUGAGUAACACGUGGGCAACCUGCCUCAUAGAGGGGAAUAGCCUUUCGAAAGGAAGAUUAAUACCGCAUAAGAUUGUAGCUUCGCAUGAAGUAGCAAUUAAAGGAGCAAUCCGCUAUGAGAUGGGCCCCGCGGCGCAUUAGCUAGUUGGUGAGGUAACGGCUCACCAAGGCGACGAUGCGUAGCCGACCUGAGAGGGUGAUCGGCCACAUUGGGACUGAGACACGGCCCAGACUCUACGGGAGCAGCAGUGGGAAUAUGCACAAUGGGGAAACCCUGAUGCAGCAACGCCGCGUGAGUGAUGACGGCCUUCGGUUGUAAAGCUCUGUCUUCAGGACGA
Molecule: ribosomal RNA, 417 nt
Filed under: uncultured bacterium
Lineage: Bacteria
Description: bacterial SSU rRNA
Rfam family: Bacterial small subunit ribosomal RNA
Source: RNAcentral